Molecule: ribosomal RNA, 241 nt
Filed under: uncultured bacterium
Lineage: Bacteria
Description: partial 16S ribosomal RNA
Rfam family: Bacterial small subunit ribosomal RNA
Source: RNAcentral
CGUAAAGCGCAUGCAGGUGGUUUGUUUAAGUCAGAUGUGAAAGACCCGGGGCGUCAACCUCGGAAUAGCAUUUGAAACUAGGCAGACUAGAGUACUGUAGAGGGGGGUAGGAAUUUCAGGUGUAGCGGUGAAAUGCGUAGAGAUCUGAAGGAAUACCGGUGGCGAAGGCGGCCCCCUCGGACAGAUACUGACACUCAGAUGCGAAAGCGUGGGGAGCAAACAGGAUUAGAUACCCUGGUAG